This 249-nucleotide ribosomal RNA is filed under the name uncultured bacterium. Its description in RNAcentral is "partial 16S ribosomal RNA". It matches the Rfam family "Bacterial small subunit ribosomal RNA", at positions 523 to 769 of the family's 1533-position model. The record is from RNAcentral.
AUACGGAGGGUGCAAGCGUUAUCCGGGAUUCACUGGGUUUAAAGGGUGUGUAGGCGGACUAUUAAGUCAGUGGUGAAAUCCCCGGGCUCAACCUGGGAACUGCCCGUUGAUACUAUUAGUCUUGAAUUCUGUUGAGGUGGGCGGAAUACAUCAUGUAGCGGUGAAAUGCUUAGAUAUGAUGUAGAACACCGAUUGCGAAGGCAGCUCACUAAGCAGCGAUUGACGCUGAGGCACGAAAGCGUGGGGAUC